This 1363-nucleotide ribosomal RNA is filed under the name Salmonella enterica. RNAcentral's name for it is "partial 23S ribosomal RNA". It matches the Rfam family "Bacterial large subunit ribosomal RNA", at positions 1589 to 2925 of the family's 2925-position model. Lineage: Bacteria; Pseudomonadati; Pseudomonadota; Gammaproteobacteria; Enterobacterales; Enterobacteriaceae. The record is from RNAcentral.
AGCAACAAAUGCCCUGCUUCCAGGAAAAGCCUCUAAGCAUCAGGUAACAUCAAAUCGUACCCCAAACCGACACAGGUGGUCAGGUAGAGAAUACCAAGGCGCUUGAGAGAACUCGGGUGAAGGAACUAGGCAAAAUGGUGCCGUAACUUCGGGAGAAGGCACGCUGACACGUAGGUGAAGUGAUUUACUCAUGGAGCUGAAGUCAGUCGAAGAUACCAGCUGGCUGCAACUGUUUAUUAAAAACACAGCACUGUGCAAACACGAAAGUGGACGUAUACGGUGUGACGCCUGCCCGGUGCCGGAAGGUUAAUUGAUGGGGUCAGCGCAAGCGAAGCUCCUGAUCGAAGCCCCGGUAAACGGCGGCCGUAACUAUAACGGUCCUAAGGUAGCGAAAUUCCUUGUCGGGUAAGUUCCGACCUGCACGAAUGGCGUAAUGAUGGCCAGGCUGUCUCCACCCGAGACUCAGUGAAAUUGAACUCGCUGUGAAGAUGCAGUGUACCCGCGGCAAGACGGAAAGACCCCGUGAACCUUUACUAUAGCUUGACACUGAACAUUGAGCCUUGAUGUGUAGGAUAGGUGGGAGGCUUUGAAGCGUGGACGCCAGUCUGCGUGGAGCCGACCUUGAAAUACCACCCUUUAAUGUUUGAUGUUCUAACGUGGACCCGUAAUCCGGGUUGCGGACAGUGUCUGGUGGGUAGUUUGACUGGGGCGGUCUCCUCCUAAAGAGUAACGGAGGAGCACGAAGGUUGGCUAAUCCUGGUCGGACAUCAGGAGGUUAGUGCAAUGGCAUAAGCCAGCUUGACUGCGAGCGUGACGGCGCGAGCAGGUGCGAAAGCAGGUCAUAGUGAUCCGGUGGUUCUGAAUGGAAGGGCCAUCGCUCAACGGAUAAAAGGUACUCCGGGGAUAACAGGCUGAUACCGCCCAAGAGUUCAUAUCGACGGCGGUGUUUGGCACCUCGAUGUCGGCUCAUCACAUCCUGGGGCUGAAGUAGGUCCCAAGGGUAUGGCUGUUCGCCAUUUAAAGUGGUACGCGAGCUGGGUUUAGAACGUCGUGAGACAGUUCGGUCCCUAUCUGCCGUGGGCGCUGGAAGACUGAGGGGGGCUGCUCCUAGUACGAGAGGACCGGAGUGGACGCAUCACUGGUGUUCGGGUUGUCAUGCCAAUGGCACUGCCCGGUAGCUAAAUGCGGAAAAGAUAAGUGCUGAAAGCAUCUAAGCACGAAACUUGCCCCGAGAUGAGUCUUCCCUGAGACUUUGAGUCUCCUGAAGGAACGUUAAAGACGAUGACGUUGAUAGGCCGGGUGUGUAAGCGCAGCGAUGCGUUGAGCUAACCGGUACUAAUGAACCGUGAGGCUUAACCUUACA